CCCUUAGAUGUUCUGGGCCGCACGCGCGCUGCACUGAUGCAUUCAACGAGUCUAAAACCUGGUCUGAGAGGGCUGGGUAAUCUUUUGAAAGUGCAUCGUGAUUGGGAUAGAUGAUUGCAAUUCUUCAUCUUCAACGAGGAAUGCCUAGUAAACGCAAGUCAUCAGCUUGCAUUGAUUACGUCCCUGCCCUUUGUACACACCGCCCGUCGCUCCUACCGAUUGAACGAUCCGAUGAAAACUGUGGAUUGAGAGUCUGAGUGGGUUCGCCUACCUCAACUUUCGAGAAGCGGUUUAAAUCUUAUCGUUUAGAGGAAGGAGAAGUCGUAUCA
RNAcentral lists this ribosomal RNA (329 nucleotides) under uncultured eukaryote. RNAcentral's name for it is "partial 18S ribosomal RNA". It matches the Rfam family "Eukaryotic small subunit ribosomal RNA", at positions 1470 to 1796 of the family's 1831-position model. The record is from RNAcentral.